Molecule: non-coding RNA, 354 nt
Organism: Thunnus maccoyii (southern bluefin tuna)
Lineage: Eukaryota; Metazoa; Chordata; Actinopteri; Scombriformes; Scombridae
Source: the annotation of a RefSeq genome assembly
AUGAUGGACUAUAGGACGGGACUGCUGCUUUUAACUAUCUGCUGGGCAGGUGUUGAUGGUCAGACUCUGACAGAAUCUGAUCCAGUGAUUAAAAAGCCUGGAGAAUCCCACAAACUGAUCUGUACAGCCUCUGGAUUCACAUUCAGUGACUACGCUAUGCACUGGGUCAGACAGGCUCCUGGAAAAGGACUGGAGUGGGUUGCAUUCAUCAGUCAACCAAGUGGUAGCAAACAAUACUACUCUCAGUCAGUUCAAGGCCGGUUCACCAUCUCCAGAGACAACAGCAGACAGCAGAUGUAUCUGCAGAUGAACAGUCUGAAGACUGAAGAUUCUGCUGUUUAUUAUUGUGCUCGA